ACCACAGUCAGAACGUGUGUGUGUGUGUGUGUGUGUGUGUGUGUGUGUGUGUCAGCAUAACGAAGGGAGAAGGCUUGCAGAGAAACACGAAGGGAAGAAAUGUUAACGUAAAAGUGUUAACGAAGAAAAUAAAUAAUGAAGACAGAAGGAACGAAAGGCAGCAAGAAUAAAGAGGAAAAAAAGCCUACACGGUGAAGAGCUGAGGAAGGAAGGCAACAAGGAGGAUGGGGCGUGAAGGAGACAGAGAGAGGGAAAAGGAUAGAGGAGGAAGAGGCUGCGGGGUGGACGAAUGAUCACUAGGGAAAAGAGUAUUGCUAUUAAACCCAAGAGGAGGAGAAGGAGGAGGAAGAAGAGGAGGAAGAAGAAGAAGACGAAAACAAGAACAAGAAGGAGAACAAGAAGAACAGAAGAACAAGAAGAAAAAGAAAGAAAGAUUAUGAAAAUAAGAAAGUAAAGGAUGAGGAUGAGGAGGAGGAGGGAGAGAAAAAGAAGAAGAGAAGAAGAAAACGAAAAGAAGAAAAAGAAAAAGAAGUCAAAGAAGGAAAGGAAGCGGAGAAAGAGGAGGAUGAAACAAAAAACAAAACAAACAAAAAAAAAAAAUCCGCCCAGAAGACACAGAAGAAAACACCAGCAAUAGAAGACAAGAAGACAGAUAGUAGAGGCAGCAGCACAGCAGUAGUCCCAAGCGGGCAGGUCAGUGAGGUGUGGAGGGUGUGGUGUUUGACAGAGAGUGGUGGUUCAGUCCGGGCGGUGUUAGCGAGAGGAGUACAUAGUGUAGAUAUUAUGUAGGGCGGACACAGCACACACAUACACAAAGCGAUAAAUGAGGAAAAUACAGCCAACCAAGAAUAAAAGAAACAAUAAUCCAGGAAUGCAAAUAAAAAGCAGGAAUGUAAAAGAAAUUGAAAGCUGAAAAUUAAAAGAAUCGAAAGUAAGUUUAAUGGAAGAUUGAAUGAGGAAACAAUAAUCCAGGAAUGCAAAUAAAAAGCAGGAAUGUAAAAGAAAUUGAAAGCUGAAAAUUAAAAGAAUCGAAAGUAAGUUUAAUGGAAGAUUGAAUGAGUUAGGCAGAAUAAUAAGAUUUUUUUUUCAGGCUUCAAAGAAAAAGUGAAACAAAAGAAAUGGUUAAAGCUAAAUCAUAAAGGAGAGAACGGUUAAGGAGUUGUGUUAUAUGAUAGUGUGUGUGUGUGUGUGUGUGUGUGUGUGUGUGUGUGUGUGAUAGUAACAGGGGAGGCAGUCGAGUCUGUCUUGAGCUUGCAUGGAAUAACAACAUGUCUAGUCUUGUCUGUGUCUCACUAUGUAUGUUCUGGUUGAAGGCGUCGAGAUCGUAGUCUCAGUAAAGUCUUAUAUGGCAAGGUCCGUCUUACUCAGUUUGGCCGAAUUUGAGUCUGUUAUGAUCUCACUCCUGCAACUCCUACUCAGACGCUUUCGGCUCCUACAAAAAUAAGUGCCUAAAAAAAAAAAAAGAAUAAACUUCGGCCAAAUCCGUGCCAGUAGGUCAAAAUUUGGUGUUGCUACGAUGGGUUUAAGUAAAAAAAGAAAAUAACUGGAUAAACUUCGGCCAAAUCCACGCCAAUAGGUCAAAAUUUGGUGUUGCUACGAUGGGUUUAAGUAAAAAAAGAAAAAAAUUGAAUAAACUUCGGCCAAAUCCGUGCCAGUAGGUCAAAAUUUGGUGUUGCUACGAUGGGUUUAAGUAAAAAAAAAGAAAAAAACUGGAUAAACUUCGGCCAAAUCCGCGCCAAUAGGUCAAAAAUUGGUGUUGCUACGAUGGGUUUAAGUAAAAAAAAGAAAAAACUGGAUAAACUUCGGCCAAAUCCGCGCCAAUAGGUCAAAAUUUAGUGUUGCUACGAUGGGUUUAAGUAAAAAAAGAAAAAAAAACUAAAUAAACUUCGGCCAAAUCCGCGCCAGUAGGUCAAAAUUUGGUGUUGCUACGAUGGGUUUAAGUAAAAAAAAGAAAAAACUGGAUAAACUUCGGCCAAAUCCGCGCCAAUACGUCAAAAUUUAGUGUUGCUACGAUGGGUUUAAGUAAAAAAAAGAAAAAAACUGGAUAAACUUCGGCCAAAUCCGUGCCAAUAGGUCAAAAUUUAGUGUUGCUACGAUGGGUUUAAGUAAAAAAAGAAAAAAAAAAGAAUAAACUUCGGCCAAAUCCGUGCCAGUAGGUCAAAAUUUGGUGUUGCUACGAUGGGUUUAAGUAAAAAAAGAAAAAAAAAAGAAUAAACUUCGGCCAAAUCCGCGCCAAUAGGUCAAAAUUUGGUGUGUAACUAGUUCCCAAGGCCACAAAGGAGAUUAGUCAGGUUCUCAUAAGUGUUUUUCACAUUCACAGUGCAGAAGCCUUGUCAAAUACCACUAGAGUCAUAAACCUACCCAUGGAAAUACCAACACAUCCUCUACGGAAGUCUUAACAAAUGUGCGUAUGUAAGAAAAUGGGCCCUGGUCGUGUGGAGAUUU
Molecule: long non-coding RNA, 2445 nt
Organism: Eriocheir sinensis (Chinese mitten crab)
Lineage: Eukaryota; Metazoa; Arthropoda; Malacostraca; Decapoda; Varunidae
Exons: 2
Source: RefSeq, a predicted model, not a curated record